GACGAACGCUGGCGGCGUGCUUAACACAUGCGAGUCGAACGGAAAGGCCUCUUUCGGGGGGUACUCGAGUGGCGAACGGGUGAGUAACACGUGAGUAACCUGCCCUUGACUUUGGGAUAACUUCAGGAAACUGGGGCUAAUACCGGAUAGGAGCUCCUGCUGCAUGGUGGGGGUUGGAAAGUUUCGGCGGUUGGGGAUGGACUCGCGGCUUAUCAGCUUGUUGGUGGGGUAGUGGCUUACCAAGGCUUUGACGGGUAGCCGGCCUGAGAGGGUGACCGGCCACAUUGGGACUGAGAUACGGCCCAGACUCCGACGGGAGGCAGCAGUGGGGAAUAUUGCACAAGGGGUGGAAGCCUGAUGCAGCAACGCCGUGGGCGGGAGGACGGCCUUCGGGUUGUAAACCGCUUUCGCUCAUGACGAAGCUUUGUGUGACGGUAGUGGGUAAAGAAGCACCGGCUAACUACGUG
RNAcentral lists this ribosomal RNA (467 nucleotides) under uncultured bacterium. Its description in RNAcentral is "partial 16S ribosomal RNA". It matches the Rfam family "Bacterial small subunit ribosomal RNA", at positions 28 to 507 of the family's 1533-position model. The record is from RNAcentral.